Molecule: transfer RNA, 77 nt
Filed under: Synergistales bacterium
Lineage: Bacteria; Thermotogati; Synergistota; Synergistia; Synergistales
Description: tRNA-Met
Rfam family: tRNA
About the family: Transfer RNA (tRNA) molecules are approximately 80 nucleotides in length. Their secondary structure includes four short double-helical elements and three loops (D, anti-codon, and T loops). Further hydrogen bonds mediate the characteristic L-shaped molecular structure. tRNAs have two regions of fundamental functional importance: the anti-codon, which is responsible for specific mRNA codon recognition, and the 3' end, to which the tRNAs corresponding amino acid is attached (by aminoacyl-tRNA synthetases). tRNAs cope with the degeneracy of the genetic code in two manners: having more than one tRNA (with a specific anti-codon) for a particular amino acid; and 'wobble' base-pairing, i.e. permitting non-standard base-pairing at the 3rd anti-codon position.
Source: RNAcentral
GGGCCCAUAGCUCAAGUGGUUAGAGCCACCGGCUCAUAACCGGAAGGUUCCAGGUUCGAGUCCUGGUGGGCCCACCA